Non-coding RNA from Erythranthe guttata (spotted monkey flower), 2395 nucleotides. Lineage: Eukaryota; Viridiplantae; Streptophyta; Magnoliopsida; Lamiales; Phrymaceae. The record is from RefSeq and is a predicted model, not a curated record.
UUAUAUUGGGAUUUUGGCCCAAAUGUUAUCUCUUCAUCUGUGGCCCAAUACCAGCAUGUAACCGGCCCAUCUUGGAGCAAGCCCACACUUGAAAAAGCCCACGUGGAGAAUUGGUCUUGACCCAAUUAAGGGGUCAAAACGUGAAAAACGAUUAAUCUCUCCACCGAUAUACUGAUUCGGCUCUCUGCUUUUUUGUCCUCUUUUCUGGUCCGAUUUCUCCGCCGGAAAUCUGUGACACCAGUAUCCCGAUCCCUCGGCUUCCGUUGAAGUCGGUUCUUGGGGGCUAUUAAAUAGACCUCUUCUUCGUGAGAGAACAGUGACCAAGAGAGACCAAGAAAAUUCAACCUACGUUACACCUUGUUCGUAAAUCUUUUCUUCGUGACUGAUUCGACUCUUUGUGAGUCUCAACUCUUUGUGAGUGUUUGGGUGUUGGGUUGAGUGCUGUGUGUGUUUGAUUUAUUCGAACUCUUGGUCCUUUGUGUGUUUGGGGCUUUUUCGGGUUUUUCCGGUUAGAAAUCUGAGAGGGAUUUGGGUAUUGGGCUUGUUCCGGUGGGUGCGUGGCUGCGGCUGGUGAGUCUUGGACGAGGACGGAUGGGAAUUGAGACUGAGCCGGGAACCUCAAUCGUCGGCAGAGAUUCAUCCUCCCACGAAUCUGUGUGAUUCGCCGUGGUUCUUCUUUCCCCUUUAUUACUCUAGUUUUUCCUUAUUAUUUGUGUUAUUUGUUUCCUACUUUUUGCAAUUAUUCUGAUUUUCUUGUAGUCUUUAUAAUUGUUAUGAUUUGCAGUUGUUGUUAGGUUUAAAUAAUAUAAGUAAUAAUUAGAGUCCUGUACCCUUAUUCCCAUAAUUGUUUUGUUUUCGGUAAUUGCUGUCAUAUGCUAUAAUUAAUUGAUUUAGUUGAUUUAUUAUAUAUUAUAUUUUAAUUGUUUCGAAUAAAAUAUGAGUAUUUUGAUUUUGUGUGGUUUGUCUUCUCCGGGCGGAUACCCAACAGUGAUAUCAGAGCGUUGUUAAGGGUCCGUCCGGAGCGGCGUACGAAACCCUGGUCCAGGGGUUUCGCUCAGGUAGUGUCUUACGGCAAUGAUGAUCUCGUUUUUCCCCUUAAAUGUCCCGAUGACUCAUUUGGGCCAGGUGGAGAUUAUUGGGAUUUUGGCCCAAAUGUUAUCUCUUCAUCUGUGGCCCAAUACCAGCAUGUAACCGGCCCAUCUUGGAGCAAGCCCACACUUGAAAAAGCCCACGUGGAGAAUUGGUCUUGACCCAAUUAAGGGGUCAAAACGUGAAAAACGAUUAAUCUCUCCACCGAUAUACUGAUUCGGCUCUCUGCUUUUUUGUCCUCUUUUCUGGUCCGAUUUCUCCGCCGGAAAUCUGUGACACCAGUAUCCCGAUCCCUCGGCUUCCGUUGAAGUCGGUUCUUGGGGGCUAUUAAAUAGACCUCUUCUUCGUGAGAGAACAGUGACCAAGAGAGACCAAGAAAAUUCAACCUACGUUACACCUUGUUCGUAAAUCUUUUCUUCGUGACUGAUUCGACUCUUUGUGAGUCUCAACUCUUUGUGAGUGUUUGGGUGUUGGGUUGAGUGCUGUGUGUGUUUGAUUUAUUCGAACUCUUGGUCCUUUGUGUGUUUGGGGCUUUUUCGGGUUUUUCCGGUUAGAAAUCUGAGAGGGAUUUGGGUAUUGGGCUUGUUCCGGUGGGUGCGUGGCUGCGGCUGGUGAGUCUUGGACGAGGACGGAUGGGAAUUGAGACUGAGCCGGGAACCUCAAUCGUCGGCAGAGAUUCAUCCUCCCACGAAUCUGUGUGAUUCGCCGUGGUUCUUCUUUCCCCUUUAUUACUCUAGUUUUUCCUUAUUAUUUGUGUUAUUUGUUUCCUACUUUUUGCAAUUAUUCUGAUUUUCUUGUAGUCUUUAUAAUUGUUAUGAUUUGCAGUUGUUGUUAGGUUUAAAUAAUAUAAGUAAUAAUUAGAGUCCUGUACCCUUAUUCCCAUAAUUGUUUUGUUUUCGGUAAUUGCUGUCAUAUGCUAUAAUUAAUUGAUUUAGUUGAUUUAUUAUAUAUUAUAUUUUAAUUGUUUCGAAUAAAAUAUGAGUAUUUUGAUUUUGUGUGGUUUGUCUUCUCCGGGCGGAUACCCAACAAAUUAAGACGUGGUGAGUAUUCAGAACUUGAUUAUGCGAUAGCAAACCAUCAAAUUCAGCUGAAACUCGAGAUGCCGUGGUACUCCGAUUCGAGAAACCCGUAAAAGUUCGUCUUAAAUCGUGUGCUGAAUGUGUUCCAAUUAGGAUUUCUAGAGGGGGAAAGAGAGAGAAGAAGAUAUGGACAUGCCACGUAAUUUCUGAUGCUAUGAUUUUCUUCAUUAAUGGAAUCUCCGGAGUUAACUUCUUGAUAAUUGGGAUAAUAGAAUGUCUAAUAUAGU